This 471-nucleotide ribosomal RNA is filed under the name Triticum aestivum (bread wheat). RNAcentral's name for it is "partial small subunit ribosomal RNA". Lineage: Eukaryota; Viridiplantae; Streptophyta; Magnoliopsida; Poales; Poaceae. The record is from RNAcentral.
AUGGUUACGAUCCCAGCCGUCAUGCAACACGGGUGGUGCUGCUUCAAUUGGGACGUGAUGGCCCAUGUUAUAACCAUCAUGGACCCAAUGUUAUACCAGACGGAGGACACGUCACGCAAAACUUGCCUUAUGUACGCGGCCGAGAAGAUACAUGACGCCCUUUUCAAUUGCAUCGAAGAAUUCUUCACCGAGUGGCACUGCAGCAGACUUUCAUGGACGAAGAAGACACCUCUACUAUCCACUACAACAUUCACAAGGGCCGAGAGUGUCCUGUGUGUCGCCCACUUACUAAGACACUUCAAUGGGAAUUCACUGGCAAAACCUCUUACAAGGACAGCUAUUGCCAACGAAAGGGACUCACUCCUCAUCGAGCUGAUCCACAUGGAAGGCAACACCGCCCCCCUGCAGCUGGAAGGACUAGACGUUGUCGCCAACGCGCUGAACGAGUUGAUGAAAGACUCAGGGGUUUAG